CCUACGGGUGGCAGCAGUGAGGAAUAUUGGUCAAUGGACGCGAGUCUGAACCAGCCAUGUCGCGUGAAGGAAGACUGCCCUAUGGGUUGUAAACUUCUUUUAUAUGAGAAUAAACUGAUCUACGCGUGGCUUUCUGUAUGUACCAUAUGAAUAAGGAUCGGCUAACUCCGUGCCAGCAGCCGCGGUAAUACGGAGGAUUCGAGCGUUAUCCGGAUUUAUUGGGUUUAAAGGGAGCGUAGGUGGUUGGGUAAGUUAGUGGUGAAAGUCUGAGGCUCAACCGUAAAAUUGCAGUUGAAACUGGCAGUCUUGAGUGCAGUAGAGGUAGGCGGAAUGUAUGGUGUAGCGGUGAAAUGCUUAGAUAUCACGAAGAACUCCGAUUGCGAAGGCAGUUCACUGGACUACUACUGACACUGAGGCACGAAAGUGUGGGGAGCAAACAGGAUUAGAUACCCCAGUAGUC
This 460-nucleotide ribosomal RNA is filed under the name uncultured bacterium. RNAcentral describes it as "partial 16S ribosomal RNA". It matches the Rfam family "Bacterial small subunit ribosomal RNA", at positions 338 to 795 of the family's 1533-position model. The record is from RNAcentral.